This 497-nucleotide ribosomal RNA is filed under the name uncultured bacterium. Its description in RNAcentral is "partial 16S ribosomal RNA". It matches the Rfam family "Bacterial small subunit ribosomal RNA", at positions 28 to 507 of the family's 1533-position model. The record is from RNAcentral.
GAUGAACGCUGGCGGCGUGCCUAAUACAUGCAAGUCGAGCGAACGGACGAGAAGCUUGCUUUUCUGAUGUUAGCGGCGGACGGGUGAGUAACCCGUGGAUAACCUACCUAUAAGACUGGGAUAAAUUCGGGAAACCGGAGCUAAUACCGGAUAAUAUUUUGAACCGCAUGGUUCAAAAGUGAAAGACGGUCUUGCUGUCACUUAUAGAUGGAUCCGCGCUGCAUUAGCUAGUUGGUAAGGUAACGGCUUACCAAGGCAACGAUGCAUAGCCGACCUGAGAGGGUGAUCGGCCACACUGGAACUGAGACACGGUCCAGACUCCGACGGGAGGCAGCAGUAGCGAAUCUUCCGCAAUGGGCGAAAGCCUGACGGAGCAACGCCGCGUGAGUGAUGAAGGUCUUCGGAUCGUAAAACUCUGUUAUUAGGGAAGAACAUAUGUGUAAGUAACUGUGCACAUCUUGACGGUACCUAAUCAGAAAGCCACGGCUAACUACGUG